RNAcentral lists this ribosomal RNA (463 nucleotides) under uncultured bacterium. RNAcentral's name for it is "bacterial SSU rRNA". It matches the Rfam family "Bacterial small subunit ribosomal RNA", at positions 50 to 502 of the family's 1533-position model. The record is from RNAcentral.
AACACAUGCAAGUCGAGCGGUAACAGGAAGAAGCUUGCUUCUUUGCUGACGAGCGGCGGACGGGUGAGUAAUGCCUGGGAAUAUGCCUUGAUGUGGGGGAUAACUAUUGGAAACGAUAGCUAAUACCGCAUAACGUCUUCGGACCAAAGAGGGGGACCUUCGGGCCUCUCGCGUCAAGAUUAGCCCAGGUGGGAUUAGCUAGUUGGUGGGGUAAAGGCUCACCAAGGCAACGAUCCCUAGCUGGUCUGAGAGGAUGAUCAGCCACAUUGGAACUGAGACACGGUCCAGACUCCUACGGGAGGCAGCAGUGGGGAAUAUUGCACAAUGGGGGAAACCCUGAUGCAGCCAUGCCGCGUGUAUGAAGAAGGCCUUCGGGUUGUAAAGUACUUUACAGUCGUGAGGAAGGGUGGAUAGUUAAUAGCUGUCCAUCUUGACGUUAGCGACAGAAGAAGCACCGCUAACU